AGUGAACGCUGGCGGUAGGCCUAACACAUGCAAGUCGAACGGCAGCACAGUAAGAGCUUGCUCUUACGGGUGGCGAGUGGCGGACGGGUGAGGAAUACAUCGUAAUCUACUUUUUCGUGGGGGAUAACGUAGGGAAACUUACGCUAAUACCGCAUACGACCUACGGGUGAAAGCAGGGGAUCUUCGGACCUUGCGCGAUUGAAUGAGCCGCUGUCGGAUUAGCUAGUUGGCGGGGUAAAGGCCCACCAAGGCGACGAUCCGUAGCUGGUCUGAGAGGAUGAUCAGCCACACUGGAACUGAGACACGGUCCAGACUCCUACGGGAGGCAGCAGUGGGGAAUAUUGGACAAUGGGCGCAAGCCUGAUCCAGCCAUACCGCGUGGGUGAAGAAGGCCUUCGGGUUGUAAAGCCCUUUUGUUGGGAAAGAAAAGCAGCAGGUUAAUACCCCGCUGUUCUGACGGUACCCAAAGAAUAAGCACCGGCUAACUUCGUG
Molecule: ribosomal RNA, 492 nt
Filed under: uncultured bacterium
Lineage: Bacteria
Description: partial 16S ribosomal RNA
Rfam family: Bacterial small subunit ribosomal RNA
Source: RNAcentral